ACGCACGCUGGCGGCCUGCUUAACUCCUUCAAGUCGGACGAAGAGCGAUGGAAGCUUGCUUCUAUCAAUCUUAGUGGCGAACGGGUGAGUAACGCGUAAUCAACCUGCCCUUCAGAGGGGGACAACAGUUGGAAACGACUGCUAAUACCGCAUACGAUCUAAUCUCGGCAUCGAGGAUAGAUGAAAGGUUGCUUCUACAUGUAAGCUAUCACUGAAGGAGGGGAUUGCGGCUGAUUAGCGAGUUGGAUGGGUAACGGCCCACCAAGGGGAUGAUCAGUAGCCGGUCUGGGAGGAUGAACGGCCCAAUUGGGAAUGAGACACGGCCCAGAAUCCUAAGGGAGGCAGCAGUGGGGAAUCUUCCGGAAUGGACGGAAGUCUGGAGGAGGAAAGCCGCGUGGGUGAUGAAGGCCUUCGGGUUGGAAAGCUCUGUUAAUCGGGAAGAAAGGAAUUCUUGAGAAUAGUGAGAAGGAUUGACGGUACCGGAAUAGAAAGCCACGGCUAACUACGUG
This 509-nucleotide ribosomal RNA is filed under the name uncultured bacterium. RNAcentral describes it as "partial 16S ribosomal RNA". It matches the Rfam family "Bacterial small subunit ribosomal RNA", at positions 29 to 507 of the family's 1533-position model. The record is from RNAcentral.